This is a non-coding RNA of Pelobates cultripes (western spadefoot toad), 1401 nucleotides long. NCBI's taxonomy places the organism in Eukaryota, Metazoa, Chordata, Amphibia, Anura, Pelobatidae. The record is from the annotation of a GenBank genome assembly.
UUUAUAACAACUUUAAAAAUAUAUAUAAAACUCUGUAUCUUGUACAGGGACAAGUCCGGUGUUCUGUAAGAAUCGCUUUAAGGGACAUUAUAGGCAACCAGACCACUAAAGCUCAUUGCAGCUCUAAGUCUGCCCUUGGUGGCUGUCUUCCACUGGGGGCACUUCCGGAAUCGUAACGGACUUUUGGUCCGUUAUCUGACACUGGACGUCAUCACACUCUGCAUUUGCCGCGCAUGUGUAUUAGACCCCGCUCGUCGCGGGAUGGAGAAGGGGGUGGAGCUUCGACCCAGCGCCAAGGGACAUCGGCGCUGGGAUAAGGUAAGUAAGUAAAUAAAGGGUUUUUAACCCUUUAUUUACUGGGGAGGAGGGUGCGAGGGAGGGGGGAGGCAGACUGAUCGGUAGUGCCAGGAAAACAGCUUUAUAUUCCUGGCACUACAGUAUCUCUUUAAGAUAGGAAAUACAAACUUCUCUAUUCAAUCUGUUGCAGGGGAAGCAGCCACUUCAGGUUGUUAAAUGGUUACUCCAAGAACUAUAACCACUUCAGUGCCUUGAAGUGGACCAAGGAGAUAUUUAAUGUUGUUCUAGUUGUGUAACUCCACCUCCAGCAGCCUUUAUUAGCCAACCUGGAAUGAGCGUUCCGGGAUGGCCAAUUUUAAUUCUGUGCAUAUUCUAUGUACUGUCUCUCAUUAAUUGGCUUAGAGACCUCAAAUGAAACUGUCUGCCAAUGAAUGAGCGGUAGGAUUGCCAACCAGUUAUGGAUAGUUGGAGAUCUUUCAGCUUCCAUUCAUUGUGGCUCUGUGCACGGCUGGACCCCAGGGUAUUUCUGGCAUCAUAACCACCACUGCAGGCUGUAUUAUGGUAACUUGUACAAAGUUUUCAGGGUGUAAAAUAACAGUAAACAUUCCGAGACAGAAGCAAUGUAUCAAAUAGGGCGGUGGUCCUGCUGCAGCGUAGAGGCCAUUCUCCAGUAAACAGGAGCCCUAAUUAAUUGCACUGAAUAAUUGGUUUAAUUCUUGGCAUAUCAAAAACCUCUGACUAUUCCAAUUCUGAGCUGCUCAGGGAUACGGCUAUAAUGCGUGCAGGAGACAGACUGCAAUCCCAACUGGCGCCAUUGCGGGCACUAUAGUUCCCCUAAAUGUAUUCUUAGUGAACACCCUGACAUAUUUUUAGCAAGACUAGGCACUGAUUCAUCCCAUAGAAAUACAUGUUUAAAAUGAAGAAAAUAGAUUUUAAUUUUUUUUUAUUUAGGGAGGAAAAAUAUCGAGUUCUUUGUUUUUUCUUUAAGGCUUGCACUCCUGUGAUAUAUGUAAAUCUUGUAAAUAGUAAUUUUUCUAAGCUGUUUUGAAAUGUACAGAACCUGAUUUUCUGCGAAAUGCAAUAAAUGUGUUUCAGAUAUUUAAA